This 1368-nucleotide ribosomal RNA is filed under the name Halomonas sp. Its description in RNAcentral is "bacterial SSU rRNA". It matches the Rfam family "Bacterial small subunit ribosomal RNA", at positions 77 to 1439 of the family's 1533-position model. Lineage: Bacteria; Pseudomonadati; Pseudomonadota; Gammaproteobacteria; Oceanospirillales; Halomonadaceae. The record is from RNAcentral.
AGCUUGCUUCCUGGUGGCGAGCGGCGGACGGGUGAGUAAUGCAUAGGAAUCUGCCCGGUAGUGGGGGAUAACCUGGGGAAACCCAGGCUAAUACCGCAUACGCCCUACGGGGGAAAGCAGGGGCUCUUCGGACCUUGCGCUAUCGGAUGAGCCUAUGUCGGAUUAGCUGGUUGGUGAGGUAAUGGCUCACCAAGGCGACGAUCCGUAGCUGGUCUGAGAGGAUGAUCAGCCACAUCGGGACUGAGACACGGCCCGAACUCCUACGGGAGGCAGCAGUGGGGAAUAUUGGACAAUGGGCGCAAGCCUGAUCCAGCCAUGCCGCGUGUGUGAAGAAGGCCCUCGGGUUGUAAAGCACUUUCAGUGGGGAAGAAAGCCUGGUGGUUAAUACCCGUCAGGAAGGACAUCACCCACAGAAGAAGCACCGGCUAACUCCGUGCCAGCAGCCGCGGUAAUACGGAGGGUGCGAGCGUUAAUCGGAAUUACUGGGCGUAAAGCGCGCGUAGGUGGCUUGAUAAGCCGGUUGUGAAAGCCCCGGGCUCAACCUGGGAACGGCAUCCGGAACUGUCAGGCUAGAGUGCAGGAGAGGAAGGUAGAAUUCCCGGUGUAGCGGUGAAAUGCGUAGAGAUCGGGAGGAAUACCAGUGGCGAAGGCGGCCUUCUGGACUGACACUGACACUGAGGUGCGAAAGCGUGGGUAGCAAACAGGAUUAGAUACCCUGGUAGUCCACGCCGUAAACGAUGUCGACUAGCCGUUGGGUCCUUCGCGGACUUUGUGGCGCAGUUAACGCGAUAAGUCGACCGCCUGGGGAGUACGGCCGCAAGGUUAAAACUCAAAUGAAUUGACGGGGGCCCGCACAAGCGGUGGAGCAUGUGGUUUAAUUCGAUGCAACGCGAAGAACCUUACCUACCCUUGACAUCCUGCGAACCCUUCGGAGACGAAGGGGUGCCUUCGGGAACGCAGAGACAGGUGCUGCAUGGCUGUCGUCAGCUCGUGUUGUGAAAUGUUGGGUUAAGUCCCGUAACGAGCGCAACCCUUGUCCUUAUUUGCCAGCGAGUAAUGUCGGGAACUCUAAGGAGACUGCCGGUGACAAACCGGAGGAAGGUGGGGACGACGUCAAGUCAUCAUGGCCCUUACGGGUAGGGCUACACACGUGCUACAAUGGUCGGUACAAAGGGUUGCGAACUUGCGAAAGUGAGCUAAUCCCAGAAAGCUGAUCUCAGUCCGGAUCGGAGUCUGCAACUCGACUCCGUGAAGUCGGAAUCGCUAGUAAUCGUGAAUCAGAAUGUCACGGUGAAUACGUUCCCGGGCCUUGUACACACCGCCCGUCACACCAUGGGAGUGGACUGCACCAGAAGUGGUUAGCCUAAC